AUGGCGUGGUGGACAUUGUGCAUACCUAAAUUAAGUGGAGGUAUGGGCUUUCGUGACUUACAUUGUUUUAACGUAGCCAUGCUUGCAAAGCAAUGCUGGAGGUUGUUAGAGAGUCCGGAUUCCUUAUGUUCUUCUAUCCCAAGGACGGAAUAUUUUCCUGAUGGGAUUCUUUUGAAAGCUAAACUGAAAAGUGGAUCAUCAUUCACAUGAAAAAAAUAUUAUGUCGGGUCUUGA
Molecule: ribosomal RNA, 234 nt
Filed under: Triticum aestivum (bread wheat)
Lineage: Eukaryota; Viridiplantae; Streptophyta; Magnoliopsida; Poales; Poaceae
Description: partial small subunit ribosomal RNA
Source: RNAcentral